This 460-nucleotide ribosomal RNA is filed under the name uncultured bacterium. Its description in RNAcentral is "partial 16S ribosomal RNA". It matches the Rfam family "Bacterial small subunit ribosomal RNA", at positions 338 to 795 of the family's 1533-position model. The record is from RNAcentral.
CCUACGGGGAGCAGCAGUGAGGAAUAUUGGUCAAUGGACGGAAGUCUGAACCAGCCAUGCCGCGUGCAGGAAGACGGCUCUAUGAGUUGUAAACUGCUUUUGUACAAGGGUAAACCUGAAUACGUGUAUUCAGCUGAAAGUACUGUACGAAUAAGGAUCGGCUAACUCCGUGCCAGCAGCCGCGGUAAUACGGAGGAUCCAAGCGUUAUCCGGAUUUAUUGGGUUUAAAGGGUGCGUAGGCGGAUUGAUAAGUUAGAGGUGAAAUGUCCGAGCUUAACUCGGGAACUGCCUCUAAUACUGUUGGUCUAGAGAGUAGAUGCGGUAGGCGGAAUGUAUGGUGUAGCGGUGAAAUGCUUAGAGAUCAUACAGAACACCGAUUGCGAAGGCAGCUUACCAAUCUAUAUCUGACGUUGAGGCACGAAAGCGUGGGGAGCAAACAGGAUUAGAUACCCGAGUAGUC